RNAcentral lists this ribosomal RNA (424 nucleotides) under uncultured bacterium. RNAcentral describes it as "partial 16S ribosomal RNA". It matches the Rfam family "Bacterial small subunit ribosomal RNA", at positions 360 to 776 of the family's 1533-position model. The record is from RNAcentral.
AAUCUUCCACAAUGGUCGAAAGCCUGAUGGAGCAACGACGCGUGAGCGAAGAAGGUUUUCGGAUCGUAAAACUCUGCUGGAAGGGAAGAACAAGUACAGUAGUAACUGGCUUUACCUUGACGGUACCUUAGUACAUAGCUACGGCUAUCUACGUGCCAGCAGCCGCGGUAAUACGCAGGUUGCAAGCGUUUUCCGGAAUUAUUGGGCGUAAAGCGCGGGCAGGCGGUACUUUAAGUCUGAUUUGAAAGCCCACGGGUAAACCGUGGUGGGUUAUUGGAAACAGGGGGACUUGAGUGCAGAAGAGGAAAGUGGAAUUCCAAGUGUAGCGGUCAAAUGCGUAGAGAUUUGGAGGAACACCAGUGGCGACGGCGACAUUCUAGUCUGUAACUGACGCUGAGGCGCGAAAGCGUGGGUAGCAAACAGG